RNAcentral lists this long non-coding RNA (958 nucleotides) under Oryza sativa Indica Group (long-grained rice). RNAcentral describes it as "lncRNA OsZS97_06G017620". Lineage: Eukaryota; Viridiplantae; Streptophyta; Magnoliopsida; Poales; Poaceae. The record is from RNAcentral.
UUCCAUCUCCGAGGAGGGCGUAACUCAAUCUACAUCAUGAAUAUUCGCACAUAAAAAUUGGUUUUGCGAAAUAGAAAAUCUAUUCCACGGCAUCCCGUGGAGACGGGAUAGUAAUCCGGAUCGAUCCCCUCCUCCUACCUCACUCUUCUCCCCUAAAUCAUUGGAGCCAACAGCCACCGUCGUCCCCGUCCCCGUCGCUGUCGCCCCACCGCUCGUCGGAGCCGGUGACCGCUGUCGUCCCCGUCGCCGUCGCCCCACCGCUCGUCGGAGCCGGCGGCCACCGCUGCGGGGGAGGCGGCGACGACGAGGAGAAUGGCGACAGGUGCGGUGAACAAGAGGGAGAGCGGGAGCGGGGGCGCGGAGGCCGCUGCCGGCGCCGGGGAAGCCGCCGCUGGCUCAGGACCCCGGUCGCCCUCAAGCUCGCCUCCCUUGCCGCGCCGCUCUGGCUCCCCGCCCUUGUCGGUCUUCUCAUCGGCUGCCCCGCCUCGCCGACCACUGGAUUCGCCACUGCCUCCUCCACGCUUCGCCUCGCCGAUCACCGGAUUCGCGCACCGCCUCCUUCUCCUGCUCCACCACGCGGCUGCCUCCUCCUCUCUCUCCUCCUGCUCCAGGCUACUGGUACCAGCGGGCAAGGACGACGGCGACCUUGGCGAGGAGCGCGAGGGAGGAGGGGAGAGGCCCCGGCGCCGGCAGCAACGAGAGCGCCAGUGGAAGAAGCAGCGCCACAUCGCGUGGAGGCGGCACCGCAGCGGGCGGAGGACGACGUCGUGGAGGUGCGGCGAGAUCACCCUCGACGCCGCCCCGACCUCGCCGACGCCGUGCCGUCGUCGUCCACGGCCGCCGGAGACGACGACGACCCCUUCCUCCCGGCCAGCUUCAUCUCCGCCUCUCGUUUUCUUCUCCUGUGAGAGAGAGAGAGAGUUUGUGGAGGGGAAAGGAAGGAGAUAAGGUAGUGGAG